Molecule: long non-coding RNA, 623 nt
Organism: Sardina pilchardus (European sardine)
Lineage: Eukaryota; Metazoa; Chordata; Actinopteri; Clupeiformes; Clupeidae
Exons: 3
Source: RefSeq, a predicted model, not a curated record
GUUGCACUUGCUGCUACUGAGCCUUCAAGUCUUCUCUUCGACCUGAAGUUACCGUGACUCUUCACAUUACCUCCAAAAAAACAAUAGUCUUUCUAAAGACUCCAUCUCCGCCCUCCAUUUCCACCUUUCCUUGUGGUGAGGCAAUUUUUGCCACAGAAAAAAAAUCUCAAGACUCCCAUCCUGUCUUUUGUGGUGCUGCAGACUUUUCAGGCUUGUUCCAGACCGGCUCUUCCAGAGUAGUGUCACGUGUGACACUGUGCCUGUCUUUGUCUGCACACCCUGCACUGCACUCAUAUACAACAGAACCCACUAACGCCUACCUGCAAACAUACUUACGACAAGAACUGAACACUUCCUGAGAACAUAUUUGAUUGCACAUACUAUACUCUGUACAUACUAUACUCUGUACCAUUUUCAUACUGAAUACUCCUUUGAGACUUGAAUACUCAUUUGAAACUGAAUACUCUAAGAUUUGAAUACUCCUUUGAGACUUGAAUACUUUGAUAUUUGAAUACUCAUUUCAGACUUGAAUACUUUGAGAUUUGAAUACUCCUUUGAGACUUGAAUACUUUGAGAUUUGAAUACUCCUUUGAGACUUGAAUACUUUGAGAUUUGAAUACUCC